UUUUUGCCUGCCGCCAUCCACGUAAGGUAUGAUUUGCCCCUCCUUGCCUUCUGCCAUGAUUGUGAGGCCUCCCCAGCCACGUGAAACUCAUGAGGCGACUCAGAAGGAGCAUGAGCAGAGAUGACCCUAAUAGGUGGUGCCAACACAGUUUCCCUGAGAAGUUGAAAUCGAGGACUGGUGCCCACUGAGGAGGUCUGAGGAGAGGAGGACUCAGAGCAGCCAGGUGAGGAUUCAGGAGCGCGACUUUCGAGAACAGAACAGUAAAGUGUGUGCUCAGAGUCCGUGGGGGCAGCAUCAGGGCUUCCACUCUUGCAUGCCGUGCUACACUGGAGUCCCAUUCUACACCACCUGCCCACACACAGCUCUGCUGAGGCACGAGGCCCCGUGGGUGCAGCACCAUCUUCUCGAGGGUAUCCUUCCUUGCUGCAGCGUCUUAUCUGUGUGCAGCUGCAGGUGUUCCUUAGCAGGGUCUCCAUAUAGAUGACUGCGCUUGAAACAUUUCAAAUCUCCUCCUAUUUCAAACUGCUUUAUAAAUCCUUGUAGGAGUGACCAAUGUAUAUCAUAUUACCCCACAAUACAGAAAGGAAUCUUCAUCAGUAAUUUAAGUUAUAGAAAGUUAAGUUGUUGUAAACUAGGAGAUCAAGAGGGGGGCGCCUCAUCUAUGUGAAUCCUGUGACCCCCACAAAUAUUAUAGAAGCAAUAUGAGAGGAAGUUCAUGGCGACCCCACGCAUAUUAUAGAAGCAACACAGGAGGAAGUUCAUGGUGACCCCACGCGUAUUAUAGAAGCAAUACGGGAGGAAGUUCAUGGUAACUCCACGCGUAUUAUAGAAGCAACACGGGAGGAAGUUCAUGGCGACCCCACGCAUAUUAUGGAAGCAACACGGGAGGAAGUUCAUGGCGACCCCACGCAUAUUAUGGAAGCAAUACGGGAGGAAGUUCAUGGCGACCCCACGCUUAUUAUAGAAGCAACACGGGAGGAAGUUCAUGGCGACUCCACGCAUAUUAUAGAAACAACACGGGAGGAAGUUCAUGGCGACCCCACGCAUAUUAUGGAAGCAACACGGGAGGAAGUUCAUGGCGACCCCACGCAUAUUAUGGAAACAAUACGGGAGGAAGUUCAUGGCGACCCCACGCAUAUUAUAGAAGCAACACGGGAGGAAGUUCAUGGCGACUCCACGCAUAUUAUAGAAACAAUACGGGAGGAAGUUCAUGGUGACCCCACGCAUAUAAUACAAGUAACACGGGAGGAAGUUCAUGGGGACCAGGGGUAAGGUCUUCAGGAAGAAGUGUGACUUGGUAGGUGGUGAAGUGAAUGGCAUACUUUUCAAAGCUAGAGGCUCAACCAAGAAGAAAAGAUAA
Homo sapiens (human) is the source of this 1360-nucleotide long non-coding RNA. Ensembl annotates it as long intergenic non-protein coding RNA 1029. The record is from Ensembl. Lineage: Eukaryota; Metazoa; Chordata; Mammalia; Primates; Hominidae.